UACGUAGGGGGCAAGCGUUGUCCGGAAUCAUUGGGCGUAAAGGGCGUGUAGGCGGCCAGAAAAGUCCGCUGUGAAAACUCGAGGCUCAACUUCGAGCUGUCGGUGGAAACUUUCUGGCUAGAGUCCGGAAGAGGAGAAUGGAAUUCCUGGUGUAGCGGUGAAAUGCGCAGAUAUCAGGAAGAACACCCGUGGCGAAGGCGGUUCUCUGGGACGGUACUGACGCUGAGACGCGAAAGCGUGGGGAGCGAACAGG
RNAcentral lists this ribosomal RNA (253 nucleotides) under uncultured bacterium. RNAcentral describes it as "partial 16S ribosomal RNA". It matches the Rfam family "Bacterial small subunit ribosomal RNA", at positions 524 to 776 of the family's 1533-position model. The record is from RNAcentral.